This 467-nucleotide ribosomal RNA is filed under the name uncultured bacterium. RNAcentral's name for it is "partial 16S ribosomal RNA". It matches the Rfam family "Bacterial small subunit ribosomal RNA", at positions 28 to 507 of the family's 1533-position model. The record is from RNAcentral.
GAUGAACGCUGGCGGCGUGCUUAACACAUGCAAGUCGAACGGAAAGGCUCCUGCUUGCAGGGGUACUCGAGUGGCGAACGGGUGAGUAACACGUGGGUGAUCUGCCCUGCACUUCGGGAUAAGCCUGGGAAACUGGGUCUAAUACCGGAUAGGACCACAUUUUGGAUGGUGUGGUGGAAAGUUUUUCGGUGUGGGAUGAGCUCGCGGCCUAUCAGCUUGUUGGUGGGGUAAUGGCCUACCAAGGCGUCGACGGGUAGCCAGCCUGAGAGGGUGUACGGCCACAUUGGGACUGAGAUACGGCCCAGACUCCUACGGGAGGCAGCAGUGGGGAAUAUUGCACAAUGGGCGCAAGCCUGAUGCAGCGACGCCGCGUGGGGGAUGACGGCCUUCGGGUUGUAAACUCCUUUCGCUAGGGACGAAGCGUUUUUGUGACGGUACCUGGAGAAGAAGCACCGGCUAACUACGUG